Molecule: ribosomal RNA, 507 nt
Filed under: Triticum aestivum (bread wheat)
Lineage: Eukaryota; Viridiplantae; Streptophyta; Magnoliopsida; Poales; Poaceae
Description: partial small subunit ribosomal RNA
Source: RNAcentral
AUGGCGUGCAAGUCCAGCUGCAACCUCCUCCUCUUGGCCGCCGUCCUGCUCUCCGUCGUCGCCGCUGCUUCCGCCUCCGGCAGCUGCGUCCCAGGGGUGGCUUUUCGGACCGAUCUUCUGCCACACUGCCGCGACUAUGUGUUACAACAAACUUGUGGCACCUUCACCCCCGGGUCGAAGUUACCCGAAUGGAUGACAUCCGCGUCAAUAUUCUCCCCCAUGAAGCCAUACCUCGCCAAGUUGUAUUGCUGCCAGGAGCUCGCAGAAAUUCCUCAGCAGUGCCGGUGCGAGGCGCUGCGCUACUUCAUAGCGUUGCCGGUACCGUCUCAGCCCGUGGACCCGAGGUCCGGCAAUGUCGGUGAGAGCGGCCUCAUCGACCUGCCCGGAUGCCCCAGGCAGAUGCAAUGGGACUUUGUCAGAUUACUUGUUGCCCCGGGGCAGUGCAACUUGGCGACCAUUCACAAUGUUCGAUACUGCCCCGCCGUGGAACAGCUUCUGUGGAUCUAG